Molecule: transfer RNA, 29 nt
Filed under: Corallorhiza odontorhiza
Lineage: Eukaryota; Viridiplantae; Streptophyta; Magnoliopsida; Asparagales; Orchidaceae
Description: partial tRNA-Phe
Source: RNAcentral
GUGGGGAUAGGUGAGUUGGUAGAGGAGAG